GGGGAAUAUUGCGCAAUGGGGGGAACCCUGACGCAGCAACGCCGCGUGAGUGAAGAAGGUCUUCGGAUCGUAAAACUCUGUCAUAGGGGAAGAAGGAGAUGACGGUACCCUAUGAGGAAGCCCCGGCUAACUACGUGCCAGCAGCCGCGGUAAUACGUAGGGGGCGAGCGUUGUCCGGAAUUACUGGGCGUAAAGGGUGCGUAGGCGGCUGAUUAAGUCAGAUGUGAAAUACCAGGGCUCAACCCUGGGGGUGCAUUUGAAACUGGACAGCUUGAGUGCAGGAGAGGGAAGUGGAAUUCCUAGUGUAGCGGUGAAAUGCGUAGAGAUUAGGAGGAACACCAGUGGCGAAGGCGACUUCCUGGACUGUAACUGACGCUGAGGCACGAAAGCGUGGGGAGCAAAC
Molecule: ribosomal RNA, 403 nt
Filed under: uncultured bacterium
Lineage: Bacteria
Description: bacterial SSU rRNA
Rfam family: Bacterial small subunit ribosomal RNA
Source: RNAcentral